CCCACCUCUCAUUCCUCCUGUCCCUCCCAGCCUGCUCACAUCUAGGUAUGUUUGGUGGGCUCCCAUGCAGGGGUCCCAGUAUCAACUAGGGGGCAUGGUGGGUGCUCCCAUUACCCUACGAUGGACACCCACACAGGACAGCUGUUUACAUUGUGGAUUCAGCAUAUUGAACUGCAGAACAGAAUAUUGAACUGGCAAACAAAUGAGGUGUCCUGUCUCGGCUCAGAGACAAGGCCCAGGAAAGUGCUUCAGAGGCUGCUCUGCCCAGUGGGCAGGGGCAUCAUCAACCCUCCCUCGGAGAUGUUCACGCAAACUCUAGGAGUUAAGUGACUCAGCCAAUACCACCCAUGAGACACGACCCCUAGCCUCCAACUCGAAGUUCAGUGCUUGCUGCAGACGAUGAGAAGACUGAGGCCAGCUAUCUCCUGAGCUACGGUGGACCUGAAUUCCCCUCUCCCGACCCCUGCCAACCCCGGCCUAGGACUGCCCCAGGUAAAAUGAUCCCA
RNAcentral lists this long non-coding RNA (506 nucleotides) under Homo sapiens (human). RNAcentral describes it as "PREDICTED lncRNA (TCONS_00157500)". The record is from RNAcentral. Lineage: Eukaryota; Metazoa; Chordata; Mammalia; Primates; Hominidae.